AGGGGGAUUCCCGAGACAUUUGCAACUUAGAAAAGGCCUCCUGAAAGCAGUUUUGGGUCAUCUUGAGUGGCAGGAAUGGGCAUCUGAGCAUUGUUCAGCACCUUUUCGAGCUCCUGAGUUGUGGGAUUGUCCAAGUAAUGCAGAUAUCGAUGAGAGAGCUGAUAUUUGGUCAUUAGGAUGCACUUUAUAUGCGAUAAUGUGAUAAUGUUUUUUACCAUGUGAUUUAAGAUUUAUUGGUUUAAGUUUUCGGGUCUUUGUCUCCUGAGAGCUAUAAUAUAAUUUGAUGGCAGUGUUGAAUGUUUUAAACUAAUUUGUGGAUUGUUAAUACAAUGUUGAAUGCUUUUUACUUUUUU
This is a long non-coding RNA of Humulus lupulus (European hop), 353 nucleotides long. RefSeq lists it as uncharacterized. The record is from RefSeq and is a predicted model, not a curated record. NCBI's taxonomy places the organism in Eukaryota, Viridiplantae, Streptophyta, Magnoliopsida, Rosales, Cannabaceae. The transcript has 2 exons.